UACGUAGGUGGCAAGCGUUGUCCGGAAUUAUUGGGCGUAAAGCGCGCGCAGGCGGCCUCUUAAGUCUGAUGUGAAAGCCCCCGGCUCAACCGGGGAGGGCCAUUGGAAACUGGUAGGCUUGAGUAUAGGAGAGAAGAGUGGAAUUCCACGUGUAGCGGUGAAAUGCGUGAGAGAUGUGGAGGAACACCAGUGGCGAAGGCGACUCUUUGGCCUAUAACUGACGCUGAGGCGCGAAAGCGUGGGGAGCAAACAGG
Molecule: ribosomal RNA, 254 nt
Filed under: uncultured bacterium
Lineage: Bacteria
Description: partial 16S ribosomal RNA
Rfam family: Bacterial small subunit ribosomal RNA
Source: RNAcentral